GCGAGAGUGCUGGAAUGGUAGACAGGCACGUUUGAGGUGCGUGUGUCGCAUGGCGUGGGAGUUCGAGUCUCCUCUCUCGCACCA
RNAcentral lists this transfer RNA (84 nucleotides) under Candidatus Avoscillospira avicola. RNAcentral's name for it is "tRNA-Leu". It matches the Rfam family "tRNA". Rfam says of the family: Transfer RNA (tRNA) molecules are approximately 80 nucleotides in length. Their secondary structure includes four short double-helical elements and three loops (D, anti-codon, and T loops). Further hydrogen bonds mediate the characteristic L-shaped molecular structure. tRNAs have two regions of fundamental functional importance: the anti-codon, which is responsible for specific mRNA codon recognition, and the 3' end, to which the tRNAs corresponding amino acid is attached (by aminoacyl-tRNA synthetases). tRNAs cope with the degeneracy of the genetic code in two manners: having more than one tRNA (with a specific anti-codon) for a particular amino acid; and 'wobble' base-pairing, i.e. permitting non-standard base-pairing at the 3rd anti-codon position. Lineage: Bacteria; Bacillati; Bacillota; Clostridia; Eubacteriales; Oscillospiraceae. The record is from RNAcentral.